GAUGAACGCUGGCGGCGUGCUUAACACAUGCAAGUCGAACGAUGAAGCCCAGCUUGCUGGGUGGAUUAGUGGCGAACGGGUGAGUAACACGUGAGUAACCUGCCCUUAACUCUGGGAUAAGCCUGGGAAACUGGGUCUAAUACCGGAUAGGAGCGUCCACCGCAUGGUGGGUGUUGGAAAGAUUUAUCGGUUUUGGAUGGACUCGCGGCCUAUCCGCUUGUUGGUGAGGUAAUGGCUCACCAAGGCGACGACGGGUAGCCGGCCUGAGAGGGUGACCGGCCACACGGGGACUGAGACACGGCGCAGACUCCAACGGGAGGCAGCGGUGGGGAAUAUUGCACAAUGGGCGCAAGCCUGAGGCAGCGACGCCGCGUGAGGGAUGACGGCCUUCGGGUUGUAAACCUCUUUCAGUAGGGAAGAAGCGAAAGUGACGGUACCUGCAGAAGAAGCACCGGCUAACUACGUG
RNAcentral lists this ribosomal RNA (466 nucleotides) under uncultured bacterium. RNAcentral's name for it is "partial 16S ribosomal RNA". It matches the Rfam family "Bacterial small subunit ribosomal RNA", at positions 28 to 507 of the family's 1533-position model. The record is from RNAcentral.